This 234-nucleotide ribosomal RNA is filed under the name uncultured bacterium. Its description in RNAcentral is "partial 16S ribosomal RNA". It matches the Rfam family "Bacterial small subunit ribosomal RNA", at positions 28 to 258 of the family's 1533-position model. The record is from RNAcentral.
GACGAACGCUGGCGGCGUGCUUAACACAUGCAAGUCGAGCGGUAAGGCCUUUCGGGGUACACGAGCGGCGAACGGGUGAGUAACACGUGGGUGACCUGCCUUUAGCUUCGGGGAUAAGCCCUGGGGAAACCGGGUCGUAAUACCCGGAUAUGACCUCAUGUCGCAUGGUGUGGGGUGGAAAGUUCUUACGGCUAGAGAUGGGGCCUGCGGCCUAUCUAGGCUUGUUGGUGGGGU